RNAcentral lists this ribosomal RNA (917 nucleotides) under uncultured organism. Its description in RNAcentral is "bacterial SSU rRNA". It matches the Rfam family "Bacterial small subunit ribosomal RNA", at positions 13 to 977 of the family's 1533-position model. The record is from RNAcentral.
UUGAUCCUGGCUCAGAACGAACGCUGGCGGCAGGCCUAACACAUGCAAGUCGAGCGAGGACUUCGGUCCUAGCGGCGGACGGGUGAGUAACGCGUGGGAACGUGCCCUUCACUACGGAAUAGUCCCGGGAAACUGGGUUUAAUGCCGUAUACGCCCUUCGGGGGAAAGAAUUUCGGUGAAGGAUCGGCCCGCGUCUGAUUAGGUAGUUGGUGGGGUAACGGCCUACCAAGCCUACGAUCAGUAGCUGGUUUGAGAGGAUGAUCAGCCACACUGGGACUGAGACACGGCCCAGACUCCUACGGGAGGCAGCAGUGGGGAAUCUUAGACAAUGGGGGCAACCCUGAUCUAGCCAUGCCGCGUGAGUGACGAAGGCCCUAGGGUCGUAAAGCUCUUUCACCAGGGAAGAUAAUGACGGUACCUGGAGAAGAAACCCCGGCUAACUCCGUGCCAGCAGCCGCGGUAAUACGGAGGGGGUUAGCGUUGUUCGGAAUUACUGGGCGUAAAGCGCGCGUAGGCGGACUGUUAAGUCAGGGGUGAAAUCCCGGGGCUCAACCCCGGAACUGCCCUUGAUACUGGCAGUCUCGAGUUCGAGAGAGGUGAGUGGAGCUCCGAGUGUAGAGGUGAAAUUCGUAGAUAUUCGGAAGAACACCAGUGGCGAAGGCGGCUCACUGGCUCGAUACUGACGCUGAGGUGCGAAAGUGUGGGGAGCAAACAGGAUUAGAUACCCUGGUAGUCCACACCGUANACGAUGAAUGCCAGACGUCGGGCAGCAUGCUGUUCGGUGUCACACCUAACGGAUUAAGCAUUCCGCCUGGGGAGUACGGCCGCAAGGUUAAAACUUCAAAGGAAUUGACGGGGGCCCGCACAAGCGGUGGAGCAUGUGGUUUAAUACGAAGCAACGCGCAGAACCUUACCAA